UGAAACUGGUCCACAUUCACUAGCUCCC
RNAcentral lists this non-coding RNA (28 nucleotides) under Mus musculus (house mouse). The record is from RNAcentral. Lineage: Eukaryota; Metazoa; Chordata; Mammalia; Rodentia; Muridae.